UGCAAUGUCUGCAGAUAUGCAAGUUAAAUCCUCUAAAUAUCAACAGCACACGCAGUCCAAACUUCCUUCUGGUCAUCUUGUGAAGAUCCCCCCAGGGUGCCUCUCAAGGGCCUCAAGUGAUGAUGCCACUAAGGAAAGUGAAGAGAAACAGUUUUGAGAACUUCUACAUGAAUUUGGGGGUUUUGAAACAUUCAGUCUCCAUCUCUGAGAUGCCCUGAGAACUACAUCUACAUGGAAGCCUGAAUGCUCCCAGGAACUGGUCAGUUCAGCAAAAAGACGGUAAAUUAUCAGCUUGUGACACUUAUUUCCCACCUGGACUGACGAUAAAUUCAAAAUUCCAAGAGUGCUUCAAAUGGGUAAAAUGAAAUAAAGGUACCAGGGAUUAAACUACUUUGCAGACGACAAUGAGGCACAUGUGGAGGGCUGCUCACUCAACUGCCCACAGAAGACCUUUCAGGCAUGAAUCCAUCGCCAAGCCUCAGAGAGAAGAUUCUGCCUAAAGCACUUAGCCUCCUGUUAGGGGUCGGGGGCACACAGUGCUAGAAAGGACGUGUGUGUGUGUGUGUGGUAAGCAAAGUAAAAAUAGACCUCAGGUAUGUAUAACUUAAAAAUGACAUACAUAAUAUCACAAUCCAAGACUGGACU
Long non-coding RNA from Otolemur garnettii (small-eared galago), 645 nucleotides. RefSeq lists it as uncharacterized. The transcript has 4 exons. NCBI's taxonomy places the organism in Eukaryota, Metazoa, Chordata, Mammalia, Primates, Galagidae. The record is from RefSeq and is a predicted model, not a curated record.